This 495-nucleotide ribosomal RNA is filed under the name uncultured bacterium. RNAcentral describes it as "partial 16S ribosomal RNA". It matches the Rfam family "Bacterial small subunit ribosomal RNA", at positions 28 to 507 of the family's 1533-position model. The record is from RNAcentral.
GACGAACGCUGGCGGCGUGCCUAAUACAUGCAAGUAGAACGCUGAAGGAGGAGCUUGCUUCUCUGGAUGAGUUGCGAACGGGUGAGUAACGCGUAGGUAACCUGCCUGGUAGCGGGGGACAACUAUUGGAAACGAUAGCUAAUACCGCAUAAUAGUAGAUGUUGCAUGACAUUUGCUUAAAAGGUGCAAUUGCAUCACUACCAGAUGGACCUGCGUUGUAUUAGCUAGUUGGUGGGGUAACGGCUCACCAAGGCGACGAUACAUAGGCGACCUGAGAGGGUGAUCGGCCACACUGGGACUGGGACACGGCCCAGACUCCUACGGGAGGCAGCAGUAGGGAAUCUUCGGCAAUGGACGGAAGGCUGACCGAGGAACGCCGCGGGAGGGGAGGAGGUUUUCGGAUCGUAAAGCUCUGUUGUAAGAGAAGAACGAGUGUGAGAGUGGAAAGUUCACACUGUGACGGUAUCUUACCAGAAAGGGACGGCUAACUACGUG